This 448-nucleotide ribosomal RNA is filed under the name uncultured bacterium. RNAcentral describes it as "bacterial SSU rRNA". It matches the Rfam family "Bacterial small subunit ribosomal RNA", at positions 28 to 458 of the family's 1533-position model. The record is from RNAcentral.
GAUGAACGCUGGCGGCGUGCUUAACACAUGCAAGUCGAGCGAAGCAGUUAAGUUGAUUUCUUCGGAUUGAUUCUUAAUUGACUGAGCGGCGGACGGGUGAGUAACGCGUGGGUGACCUGCCCCAUACCGGGGGAUAACAGCUGGAAACGGCUGCUAAUACCGCAUAAGCGCACAGAGCUGCAUGGCUCGGUGUGAAAAACUCCGGUGGUAUGGGAUGGGCCCGCGUCUGAUUAGGCAGUUGGCGGGGUAACGGCCCACCAAACCGACGAUCAGUAGCCGGCCUGAGAGGGCGACCGGCCACAUUGGGACUGAGACACGGCCCAAACUCCUACGGGAGGCAGCAGUGGGGAAUAUUGCACAAUGGGGGAAACCCUGAUGCAGCGACGCCGCGUGAGCGAAGAAGUAUUUCGGUAUGUAAAGCUCUAUCAGCAGGGAAGAUAAUGACGGU